CUUUUUUUUGCCUGCCCUUAAAGCAGGGCUGUCCAACCUGCGGCCCCCCAGAUGUUGCUGAAAUACAACUCCCAUGAAUCCCUGGCUAUCUGUUUAAUUGAAAGAAUCAUGGGAGUUGUAGUUCAGCAACAUCUGGGGGGCCGCAGGUUGGACAGCCCUGCCUGAGUGUGUGGCAGGUUGUAAAAAAG
Molecule: non-coding RNA, 188 nt
Organism: Pelobates cultripes (western spadefoot toad)
Lineage: Eukaryota; Metazoa; Chordata; Amphibia; Anura; Pelobatidae
Source: the annotation of a GenBank genome assembly